Molecule: non-coding RNA, 548 nt
Organism: Manis javanica (Malayan pangolin)
Lineage: Eukaryota; Metazoa; Chordata; Mammalia; Pholidota; Manidae
Source: RefSeq, a predicted model, not a curated record
UUAUUUUCUGACUACAGUUUGGGCUUGUGCUCCCAGCAUUCCACCCCUACGAGGGCCUGAGGGCUGGGGAGCUGUCAAAGAAUGCGUCCUCCACGAAUGAGGAGUGAUGAGCUCUGUUGGAACAAAUGCCUGCUCCAAACUCAUUAGGCUGCUAAUUUCUCAUGACAGAGUGACACCAUAUGUUUAAAUAAGUUCCCACCUCACACGAAUGUUUUAGGGGAGAGUAAAUUAUUAUGUCAAUGGCUGAGUUCCAGAUGACACUUCUACAAAGGCACCAGUUGGGAGGCGUGCAAGGAAGACUUCAGAUGAGAUAAGCUGCCAAGUGGAAAGAUGCUCGCUGAGAAAAUGCCUGCUCCGAGCUGCUUCAGUUUUUCUCAGUUUUAAUGCAAGUGCAAAUGUUUAUUCAUAUUCAUCUCUUGGAUCCUUAUAAAACUGUGGUUACAGCCCCAGUUUUAUCCUGGAUUCUUUGCAUUAACCAGGCUAGUUAUGGGAAAUACAAGUACAUGAUGCCAAAAUGAUAAGCAUGCAGAGAAUACAUGGUUAUUUGA